AACGAACGCUGGCGGCGCGUCUUAGCCAUGCAAGUCGAGCGGCAGGCAGCAAUGCCGAGAGCGGCGGACUGGUGAGUAACACGUGGAUAACGUACCCCGAUGUCCGGGACAGCCUGUAGAAAUAGAGGGUAAUACCGGAUAGAUCACUGUUUACGUGAGGUAGACAGCGGGAAAGGAGCUUCGGCUCCGCGACGGGAUCGGUCUGCGGCCCAUCAGCUGGACGGCGGGGUAAAGGCCCGCCGUGGCGAGGACGGGUAUCCGGCCUGAGAGGGCGGACGGACACAUUGGGACUGAGAUACGGCCCAGACUCCUACGGGAGGCAGCAGGUAAGAAUAUUCCGCAAUGGGGGGAACCCUGACGGAGCGACGCCGCGUGAACGAAGAAGGCCGGAAGGUUGUAAAGUUCUUUUCUGUCCGAGGAAUAAGUUUCGGAGGAAAUGCCGGGACGGUGACGGUAGGGCAGGAAUAAGCACCGGCUAAUUACGUG
This 486-nucleotide ribosomal RNA is filed under the name uncultured bacterium. Its description in RNAcentral is "partial 16S ribosomal RNA". It matches the Rfam family "Bacterial small subunit ribosomal RNA", at positions 29 to 507 of the family's 1533-position model. The record is from RNAcentral.